AACGAACGCUGGCGGCAUGCCUAACACAUGCAAGUCGAACGAGACCUUCGGGUCUAGUGGCGCACGGGUGCGUAACGCGUGGGAACCUGCCCUUAGGUUCGGAAUAACUCCCCGAAAGGGGUGCUAAUACCGGAUAAUGUCUUCGGACCAAAGAUUUAUCGCCUUUGGAUGGGCCCGCGUUGGAUUAGCUAGUUGGUAGGGUAAAAGCCUACCAAGGCGACGAUCCAUAGCUGGUCUGAGAGGAUGAUCAGCCACACUGGGACUGAGACACGGCCCAGACUACGACGGGAGGCAGCAGUGGGGAAUAUUGGAAAAUGGGCGAAAGCAUGAUCCAGCAAUGCCGCGUGAGUGAUGAAGGCCUUAGGGUUGUAAAGCUCUUUGACCCGGGAUGAUAAUGACAGAACCGGGAGAAUAAGAUCAGGCUAACUCAGGG
This 433-nucleotide ribosomal RNA is filed under the name uncultured bacterium. RNAcentral describes it as "partial 16S ribosomal RNA". It matches the Rfam family "Bacterial small subunit ribosomal RNA", at positions 29 to 507 of the family's 1533-position model. The record is from RNAcentral.